This 484-nucleotide ribosomal RNA is filed under the name uncultured bacterium. Its description in RNAcentral is "partial 16S ribosomal RNA". It matches the Rfam family "Bacterial small subunit ribosomal RNA", at positions 28 to 523 of the family's 1533-position model. The record is from RNAcentral.
GACGAACGCUGGCGGCGUGCUUAACACAUGCAAGUCGAACGAUGAAGCUGGAGCUUGCUCCGGUGGAUUAGUGGCGAACGGGUGAGUAACACGUGAGCAAUCUGCCCUUGACUCUGGGAUAACUGCGGGAAACUGUAGCUAAUACCGGAUACUUUCCUUGGUGGGCAUCCACUGGGGAAGAAAGAAUUUCGGUCAAGGAUGAGCUCGCGGCCUAUCAGCUAGUUGGUGAGGUAAUGGCUAACCAGGGCGACGACGGGUAGCCGGCCUGAGAGGGUGACCGGCCACACUGGAACUGAGACACGGUCCAGACUCCUACGGGAGGCAGCAGUGGGGAAUAUUGCACAAUGGGCGAAAGCCUGAUGCAGCAACGCCGCGUGAGGGACGAAGGCCUUCGGGUUGUAAACCUCUUUUAGCAGGGAAGAAGCGAAAGUGACGGUACCUGCAGAAGAAGCACCGGCUAACUACGUGCCAGCCGCCGCAGUAA